GACGAACGCUGGCGGCGUGCUUAACACAUGCAAGUCGAACGGAGAGGCCCUGCUUUUGUGGGGUGCUCGAGUGGCGAACGGGUGAGUAACACGUGAGUAACCUGCCCUUGACUUUGGGAUAACUUCAGGAAACUGGGGCUAAUACCGGAUAGGAGCUCCUGCUGCAGGGUGGGGGUUGGAAAGUUUCGGCGGUUGGGGAUGGACUCGCGGCUUAUCAGCUUGUUGGUGGGGUAGUGGCUUACCAAGGCUUUGACGGGUAGCCGGCCUGAGAGGGUGACCGGCCACAUUGGGACUGCGAUACGGCCCAGACUCCUACGGGAGGCAGCAGGGGGGAAUAUUGCACAAUGGGCGGAAGCCUGAUGCAGCAACGCCGCGUGCGGGAUGACGGCCUUCGGGUUGUAAACCGCUUUCGCCUGUGACGAAGCGUGAGUGACGGUAAUGGGUAAAGAAGCACCGGCUAACUACGUG
This 468-nucleotide ribosomal RNA is filed under the name uncultured bacterium. RNAcentral describes it as "partial 16S ribosomal RNA". It matches the Rfam family "Bacterial small subunit ribosomal RNA", at positions 28 to 507 of the family's 1533-position model. The record is from RNAcentral.